GAUCAUAAGAGACUCGGUGUCCAUAUUUGUCAAAAGUAUAGGAUUACUACAUGUAGCAGCUUUGAUAAAAACCAUGAUUCGCACCAUUAACAAGGAUUGAUACAAGAAAAUGUUGGCAUGCAAUUAACAAAACCAUAGACUAACCUCAGAUUAUGGUUGUCCAGAGAUAAUUCAACCAAAUUCAAAAUCAUCUCGAAUCACAUAUGUAACAUUUUAACAGAGCUGAACAACAGCAGGGGAAACAGCUAGUGAAUGCCUUCUUUCUUUUUCCCCUACUUCCCAGCAGAAUCAGGGGAGCCAUCUCCAUAGGAAACCAAACCCUUCUUCCCUUCAGGACUCACCGACAUAGACCGGGACCUGUCGUUACUUGCACGUUUUGGAGAUGGGGAGGCAAUGGGGGAGCGAUCCUGCACAGGUGGUGGGGACCUUGAUCUUGACCCAGACAGGCUCCUGCUCCUGGAGAGCGACCGUGCACGAUCACCGCGGGAACUUGGUUUCCCACCAGGAGGCGAACGACUACGUACUGGACUCCUGCUGUAGCCACCUCCCCUUGUGCGGUCUCGAUAAGCUGGUGGGCUGCGUGACACGCUUCGGCUCCUCCUUCUGUACCUGCUAGACCUCCACAGCGGAAAAACAAGAGAAAUAAGAAAUUUAACCUUACACUACACAAGGCUAUACAUAUGUGCUAUAAACUUGCAGUAUAAUUGGUUGAAAGAUGUUCAUCACCACACAACACAAUAAUCAACAAAAUCCGUGUCAAGAAGAUGCAAGCACAACAUGAUGUUCUUUAUCCGAUAACACAAUAGUUGAGAACAGUGAUACACUACGACAAAUUUCCUUACAAGUUUGUAAUAAUGCAGAAACUGAAUGUUCAAUUACAUCAUUUGUGUGGAGUCAGAAUUGGAAGAUUAAGAGAUAACAAAGUUAGAUGUCCUUUUCCUAAUUGUUUAUAAGAUAA
This 958-nucleotide long non-coding RNA is filed under the name Triticum aestivum (bread wheat). RNAcentral's name for it is "long non-coding RNA (TAES_LNC013219)". The record is from RNAcentral. Lineage: Eukaryota; Viridiplantae; Streptophyta; Magnoliopsida; Poales; Poaceae.